RNAcentral lists this ribosomal RNA (253 nucleotides) under uncultured bacterium. Its description in RNAcentral is "partial 16S ribosomal RNA". It matches the Rfam family "Bacterial small subunit ribosomal RNA", at positions 524 to 776 of the family's 1533-position model. The record is from RNAcentral.
UACGUAGGUGGCGAGCGUUGUCCGGAUUUACUGGGCGUAAAGGGCGUGCAGGCGGCCUGUUAAGUCUAGGGUGAAAGCUCCCGGCUCAACUGGGAGAGGUCCUUAGAUACUGGCGGGCUUGAGGGAGGUAGAGGAGAAUGGAAUUCCCGGUGUAGUGGUGAUAUGCGUAGAUAUCGGGAGGAACACCUGUGGCGAAGGCGGUUCUCUGGGCCUUACCUGACGCUGAGACGCGAAAGCGUGGGGAGCGAACCGG